UACGGGANGCAGCAGUGAGGAAUAUUGGUCAAUGGACGAGAGUCUGAACCAGCCAAGUAGCGUGCAGGAUGACGGCCCUAUGGGUUGUAAACUGCUUUUAUACAGGGAUAAAGUAGGGAACGUGUUCCCUUUUGCAGGUACUGUAUGAAUAAGGACCGGCUAAUUCCGUGCCAGCAGCCGCGGUAAU
Molecule: ribosomal RNA, 187 nt
Filed under: uncultured rumen bacterium
Lineage: Bacteria
Description: partial 16S ribosomal RNA
Rfam family: Bacterial small subunit ribosomal RNA
Source: RNAcentral